CCUACGGGUGGCAGCAGUGGGGAAUAUUGCACAAUGGGGGAAACCCUGAUGCAGCGACGCCGCGUGAGUGAAGAAGUAAUUCGUUACGUAAAGCUCUAUCAGCAGGGAAGAUAUACUGACCUUACGGUCAGCAGACGGUACCUGAGUAAGAAGCCCCGGCUAACUACGUGCCAGCAGCCGCGGUAAUACGUAGGGGGCAAGCGUUAUCCGGAUUUACUGGGUGUAAAGGGAGCGUAGACGGUGCGCCAAGGCUGGAGUGAAAUGCCGCAGCUGAACUGCGGAACUGCUUUGGAAACUGGCGAACUAGAGUGCGGGAGGGGUAAGCGGAAUUCCUAGUGUAGCGGUGAAAUGCGUAGAUAUUAGGAGGAACACCGGUGGCGAAGGCGGCUUACUGGACCGUAACUGACGUUGAGGCUCGAAAGCGUGGGGAGCAAACAGGAUUAGAUACCCGGGUAGUC
This 458-nucleotide ribosomal RNA is filed under the name uncultured bacterium. RNAcentral's name for it is "partial 16S ribosomal RNA". It matches the Rfam family "Bacterial small subunit ribosomal RNA", at positions 338 to 795 of the family's 1533-position model. The record is from RNAcentral.